This 253-nucleotide ribosomal RNA is filed under the name uncultured bacterium. RNAcentral's name for it is "partial 16S ribosomal RNA". It matches the Rfam family "Bacterial small subunit ribosomal RNA", at positions 524 to 776 of the family's 1533-position model. The record is from RNAcentral.
UACAGAGGGGGCAAGCGUUGUUCGGAAUUACUGGGCGUAAAGGGCGCGUAGGCGGCCUUCUAAGUCGAACGUGAAAUCCCCGUGCUCAACCCGGGAACUGCGUCCGAUACUGGAAGGCUUGAAUCCGGGAGAGGGAUGCGGAAUUCCAGGUGUAGCGGUGAAAUGCGUAGAUAUCUGGAGGAACACCGAUUGCGAAGGCAGCUCGCUGGGACGUUACUGACGCUGAGACGCGAAAGCGUGGGGAGCAAACAGG